AAGAACGCAGCGAAUUGCGAUAAGUAAUGUGAAUUGCAGAUUUUCAGUGAAUCAUCGAAUCUUUGAACGCACCUUGCGCUCCUUGGUAUUCCGAGGAGCAUGCCUGUUUGAGUGUCAUCGAAUUCUCAACCAUGUCUUGAAUUAGGCAUGGCUUGGACUUGGGGUUGCUGGCACACGUUGUCAAGCUCUCCUGAAAUGCAUUAGCGAUGUUCAGCAAGCCUGAACGUGCACGGCCUUUUCGACGUGAUAACGAUCGUCGUGGGCUGGAGCGUAGGGUGAGCAGUGAAUCGCUUCUAAUCUAUACCUCAGUUACUAGUCGGUCGUGAGACUGACGAACGCGCGAGGCUUGAUCUUGGACCCCAAGCCUUAGUUACUAGUCGGUCGUGAGGCCGACGAACGCGCAGGGUUAGGACCAUUUGAACUCUUGACCUCAAAUCAGGUAGGACUACCCGCUGAACUUAA
RNAcentral lists this ribosomal RNA (462 nucleotides) under uncultured Boletus. Its description in RNAcentral is "eukaryotic LSU rRNA". The stretch from base 1 to 117 matches the Rfam family "5.8S ribosomal RNA", at positions 39 to 154 of the family's 154-position model. Lineage: Eukaryota; Fungi; Basidiomycota; Agaricomycetes; Boletales; Boletaceae. The record is from RNAcentral.